AUUGAACGCUGGCGGCAUGCUUUACACAUGCAAGUCGAACGGCAGCGCGGGCUUCGGCCUGGCGGCGAGUGGCGAACGGGUGAGUAAUACAUCGGAACGUGCCCAGUAGUGGGGGAUAGCUCGGCGAAAGCCGGAUUAAUACCGCAUACGACCUGAGGGUGAAAGCGGGGGAUCUUCGGGCCUCGCGCUAUUGGAGCGGCCGAUGGCAGAUUAGCUAGUUGGUGGGGUAAAGGCCUACCAAGGCGACGAUCUGUAGCUGGUCUGAGAGGACGACCAGCCACACUGGGACUGAGACACGGCCCAGACUCCUACGGGAGGCAGCAGUGGGGAAUUUUGGACGAUGGGCGAAAGCCUGAUCCAGCAAUGCCGCGUGUGUGAUGAAGGCCUUCGGGUUGUAAAGCACUUUUGGCGGGAACGAAAAGGACUGUGCCAAUACCACGGUUCGAUGACGGUACCCGCAGAAUAAGCACCGGCUAACUACGUG
This 484-nucleotide ribosomal RNA is filed under the name uncultured bacterium. RNAcentral describes it as "partial 16S ribosomal RNA". It matches the Rfam family "Bacterial small subunit ribosomal RNA", at positions 29 to 507 of the family's 1533-position model. The record is from RNAcentral.